GGAAGGAGCGCCGCGCGGGCGUGGACGUCUGUGCGUGAGCGCGGCUAGCUGCCCAGGGCUGCGCGGUGAGGCCUUCCGGGCCGGACGCGGCGCUGGCAUCAAGGUCCCAGGGCGUGAGGAGUGAGGACGGGCGCCCUUUCGUGACUGGCCCUCCGCGUCCAGUCCGAGAUCGUGGGAACGGCCGUGAGCGUUUGCCUCCCGCGGGUUCACGCCUACCGCCUCCCAGAGCGGUGACCGGGACGCCGAGCCCUGCCGCGGCGAUACCUGAGCGUAUAAAUCAUCCCCCACCCCGACCCCCUUACAGAUGCCGGCAUGCCAUCUGUAGCCUCCAAAAUUUUGAAGCAGGAGGUGUAAUUACCAGCCUGGCUUUUAAAAAUGUAUUCGUUUUUAUUAAAAAUGGCUCAUUCUC
Manis pentadactyla (Chinese pangolin) is the source of this 409-nucleotide long non-coding RNA. RefSeq lists it as uncharacterized. The record is from RefSeq and is a predicted model, not a curated record. The transcript is spliced from 2 exons. NCBI's taxonomy places the organism in Eukaryota, Metazoa, Chordata, Mammalia, Pholidota, Manidae.